GCCUCUAUAGCUCAGUGGUAGAGCGCUUGACGUGAGAUCAAGAGGUCCGUGGUUCAAUCCCGCGUGGAGGCA
RNAcentral lists this transfer RNA (72 nucleotides) under Aspergillus flavus NRRL3357. RNAcentral's name for it is "tRNA-Ser (TGA) (tRNA-Ser-TGA-1-1)". It matches the Rfam family "tRNA". Rfam says of the family: Transfer RNA (tRNA) molecules are approximately 80 nucleotides in length. Their secondary structure includes four short double-helical elements and three loops (D, anti-codon, and T loops). RNAcentral also lists the same sequence under 1 other name. The record is from RNAcentral. Lineage: Eukaryota; Fungi; Ascomycota; Eurotiomycetes; Eurotiales; Aspergillaceae.